AGAGUUUGAUCAUGGCUCAGGACGAACGCUGGCGGCGCGCCUAACACAUGCAAGUCGAACGGAGCUGAGAGGAGCUUGCUUUUCUUAGCUUAGUGGCGAACGGGUGAGUAACGCGUGAGUAACCUGCCCUGGAGUGGGGGACAACAGUUGGAAACGACUGCUAAUACCGCAUAAGCCCACGAUCCGGCAUCGGAUUGAGGGAAAAGGAUUUAUUCGCUUCAGGAUGGACUCGCGUCCAAUUAGCUAGUUGGUGAGGUAACGGCCCACCAAGGCGACGAUUGGUAGCCGGACUGAGAGGUUGAACGGCCACAUUGGGACUGAGACACGGCCCAGACUCCUACGGGAGGCAGCAGUGGGGGAUAUUGCACAAUGGGGGAAACCCUGAUGCAGCGACGCCGCGUGGAGGAAGAAGGUUUUCGGAUUGUAAACUCCUGUCGUUAGGGACGAUAAUGACGGUACCUAACAAGAAAGCACCGGCUAACUACGUGCCAGCAGCCGCGGUAAAACGUAGGGUGCAAGCGUUGUCCGGAAUUACUGGGUGUAAAGGGAGCGCAGGCGGACCGGCAAGUUGGAAGUGAAAACUAUGGGCUCAACCCAUAAAUUGCUUUCAAAACUGCUGGCCUUGAGUAGUGCAGAGGUAGGUGGAAUUCCCGGUGUAGCGGUGGAAUGCGUAGAUAUCGGGAGGAACACCAGUGGCGAAGGCGACCUACUGGGCACCAACUGACGCUGAGGCUCGAAAGCAUGGGUAGCAAACAGGAUUAGAUACCCUGGUAGUCCAUGCCGUAAACGAUGAUUACUAGGUGUUGGAGGAUUGACCCCUUCAGUGCCGCAGUUAACACAAUAAGUAAUCCACCUGGGGAGUACGACCGCAAGGUUGAAACUCAAAGGAAUUGACGGGGGCCCGCACAAGCAGUGGAGUAUGUGGUUUAAUUCGAAGCAACGCGAAGAACCUUACCAGGUCUUGACGUCCGAUGCAUAGUGCAGAGAUGCAUGAAGUCCUUCGGGACAUCGAGACAGGUGGUGCAUGGUUGUCGUCAGCUCGUGCCGUGAGGUGUCGGCUUAAGUGCCAUAACGAGCGCAACCCCUCUCCAUAGUUGCCAUCAGGUGAAGCUGGGCACUCUGUGGACACUGCCACCGUAAGGUGCGAGGAAGGUGGGGAUGACGUCAAAUCAGCACGGCCCUUACGUCCGGGGCUACACACGUGUUACAAUGGCAGGUACAGAGAGCCGGUCGUAUGCAAAUACGAUCCAAUCCUUAAAGCCUGUCUCAGUUCGGACUGGGGUCUGCAACCCGACCCCACGAAGCUGGAUUCGCUAGUAAUCGCGCAUCAGCCAUGGCGCGGUGAAUACGUUCCCGGGCCUUGUACACACCGCCCGUCAAGCCAUGAAAGCCGGGGGCGCCUGAAGUCCGUGACCGCAAGGAGCGGCCUAGGGCGAAACUGGUAAUUGGGGCUAAGUCGUAACAAGGUA
Molecule: ribosomal RNA, 1469 nt
Filed under: metagenome
Description: bacterial SSU rRNA
Rfam family: Bacterial small subunit ribosomal RNA
Source: RNAcentral